Long non-coding RNA from Beta vulgaris subsp. vulgaris (sugar beet), 2055 nucleotides. RefSeq lists it as uncharacterized. The record is from RefSeq and is a predicted model, not a curated record. The transcript has 2 exons. NCBI's taxonomy places the organism in Eukaryota, Viridiplantae, Streptophyta, Magnoliopsida, Caryophyllales, Amaranthaceae.
AAAAACGAACAUAUGCUUAGAAACUUUGAGACAUAUACAGUUUUGUACGAAUAAAUGAAACUAGUAUAGAUAUACUACUAGUAAUUGGCUAAGUUUCUAUCUGACCUUUUGUUUCGGGGAAUUCAAGACUAUAUUAGCAGAUUAGUGGUUACCUCCUUGUUCUCUUUCAGAAUUUCCCAAAAAUUUCUUACAGAAUUGGCUUUGUGACCCAAGAUGAUGUGCUGUUUCCUCAGCUGAGUGUUGAAGAAACAUUGGUUUUCGCGGCAUAUUUGAGGGUUCCUAGCAGCAUGAGUAGGAAACAGAAGUACCAAAGGGUUGAAAUGAUUAUCAAAGAACUUGGCCUUGAAAGACAAGAAGAACAAUAAUCACUAUUAUUCACAAGCCUUUAAGCAGCAUGUUUCAUAUGUUCGACAAAAUGCUUUUGUAUCAGAAGGAUAUCCUAUAUAUUAUGGCAAAGCUUGGGAAACAAUGGACUACUUCUCUUCUUCAAUGUUUAAUCCUGAGAUACCAAUGAAUCCAGCAGAAUUCUUGCUUGAUCUUGCUACUGGAUAAGUAAAUGACAUUAGUGUCCCUGAUGAGGUGAAAAGAGAUAACAGCUCACCUACCUCUGACAAGGCUGUUCUUAAAGUAUGCUAUUCCCGUAAAACUUUUCUGCUAUAUUCUUCUUUUUUGAAGAACUCAUAAUACGCGGUUUUCUCGUAAUAAUCUCAAUUAAGUAUGCAUCUUCCUAAAAAUGAUGGUGAAUUUCUCCUUUUCUUGGAGUAAUAUAGAUACUGAUAACAUGGUUUGUUUUUCGGUCAUAUGGUUAUGUAGUAUAUACAGGUGAAGUAAACAAGCUACUGGAGCCAAAAGAAAAUGAAGAAAAUCAUCAAUUGACAAAGAUGAGAAGAUAAGUGGUUACCUCCUUGUUCACUUUCUUGCUCUUGGUUGCGAAGUGCUUCAUUUAGGUGUUCUUGUAUCUUGCCAUUAUGAGCAUGCACAAAAUCUCCCAAAUCUACAUCUUCUUCUUCUCCUUGUUCCAAAUCAAUUUCGUCUAAGCUCAUAUAAUUCUCAUAUUCUCCUCUGAGGUGUGUUGAAUUGAAUUUCCCUUACUGCAUUUGCUCUCGAAGUUCUUUUUCUCUUAUUAUGGCUUUAAGUCUCAUAUAAGCACCAAGUGAACCAGGAGAAAACAUUGAUUUCUUAUGCACCGUCUUUGUAUGGACACCAAUGUCACCAUCAUUUUGUUUUGGGCCAUGGGACAAGGAUCUACUCUCCACAAUAGAGUUGCUUAUGUUCAACUGAGGAUUUUCCAAACUAGAUGACCUUUGAUUUUGAUUAGAUUGCAUUGAUACUCUUUGUUGUUGCGUGGUUUUCAUUGAAUCCAAUUAAGGUCGCUUUCUACUUCGUGUUGUAAAUUUCCCUUGUGAUUCCUCCUCUAUAUGUUCAUUUUUCGAGCUUGGAUGACACCUUUUCACUAGACUUGCCAUUCCUAUUUAAGAGUCACUUGCACUGUCUUUAAGCAUAGCAAGACUUAUCUUUUGCGCUAAAAUCUGUAAAAUGGAAAACCAUAUUAAUUUCAGGAAUGUACCAAGUUAGUCAAAAACUAUAAUUCACAAAUUAAGUACCACCUUUUUAGAUUGAGACCUCAAUGUUAUGCACUUUUCCUGACACAAUGCAUGUAUUUGGAGAUUUGAAGACCAACUCAGUGACUGGGGUCUGAACCGGUUAUUGCAACACAUAAUCAUCUUAUUUGAGUCACUUUGAGUCCCUUGAAAUAAGCACGAGAGUGCUCCUUAUUGGAUCAAAUGACAUGACUUAAGUUGCUGCUAGUAUAACACAGGCAUUGCAAAUUCAAAAAUGAAAUAGACUACAUUAAAUAGUACUAAACAUGUAAGAGUUUCUAUUUUUACUUUUAAAUAAAUCUCUUGGGUAUUAUACUGAUUUACCACCUUAAGUGUUACUACAACAUGGAAUUGUUAUUGAGAUAUAACCUUUUCCAGCUCUAGUAUUUUGGUUCGUCACCCAGCUCCGGUCAUUCAACAAUUAAUAAGAAAUACAGUGCUUCAUACAACAAAA